CUACGGGAUGCUGCAGUUAGGAAUAAUCUACAAUGCGCGCAAGCGUGAUAGUUUGAGUCAGAGUGCUUUUCAUAUGAAAAGCUUUUGUGGAAUGUAAAAAGUUCCGCGAAUAAGGACUGGGUAAGACUAGUGCCAGCCGCCGCGGUAAUACUAGCGGUCCAAGUCGCAGCCAUUUUUAUUGGGUCUAAAACAUCCGUAGCUUGCUUGAUAAGUUUCUUGUGAAAUUUUAUAUCUUAAAUAUGAAGCGUGCAAGAAGUACUGUCAAGUUAGAGACUGGGAGACGGAAGAAGUACGUUUGGAGUAGCGGUAAAAUGUUUUAAUCUCAAACGGACUCACAAUAGCGAGGGCAUCUUUCGAGAACAGUUCUGACAGUAAGGGAUGAAGGCUAGGGGCGCAAAACGGAUUAGAUACCCGGGUAGUC
RNAcentral lists this ribosomal RNA (421 nucleotides) under uncultured archaeon. Its description in RNAcentral is "partial 16S ribosomal RNA". It matches the Rfam family "Archaeal small subunit ribosomal RNA", at positions 323 to 746 of the family's 1478-position model. The record is from RNAcentral.